CCUACGGGUGGCAGCAGUGGGGAAUAUUGGGCAAUGGAGGCAACUCUGACCCAGCAACGCCGCGUGAAUGAUGAAGGUCCUCGGAUUGUAAAGUUCUGUGAUGGGGGAUGAACACAAUGACGGUACCCCAAUAGCAAGACACGGCUAACUACGUGCCAGCAGACGCGGUAAGACGUAGGUGGCAAGCGUUAUCCGGACGGACUGGGCGUAAAGGGUGCGUAGGGGGUUUAGUAAGUUGGCGGUGUAAUUCCGGGGCUCAACCGCGGCGCUGACGCCAAAACUAUUAGACUAGAGUGCCGGCGGGGGAAGUGGAAUGCCUAGUGGAGCGGUGGAAUGCGUAGAUAUUAGGAGGAACGUCAGGGGCGAAGGCGACUUACUGGGCUGUAACUGACACGGAGGCACGAAAGCGUGGGGAGCAAACAGGAUUAGAUACCCCAGUAGUC
This 443-nucleotide ribosomal RNA is filed under the name uncultured bacterium. Its description in RNAcentral is "partial 16S ribosomal RNA". It matches the Rfam family "Bacterial small subunit ribosomal RNA", at positions 338 to 795 of the family's 1533-position model. The record is from RNAcentral.